GUACUUGCUCCGGCAGUACAUAUACUAAAUUGGAACGAUACAGAGAAGAUUAGCAUGGCCCACCUGCGCAAGGAUGACACGCAACUUCUGUCUCUCUGUCUCU
This is a small nuclear RNA of Lethenteron reissneri (Far Eastern brook lamprey), 103 nucleotides long. The record is from RefSeq and is a predicted model, not a curated record. NCBI's taxonomy places the organism in Eukaryota, Metazoa, Chordata, Hyperoartia, Petromyzontiformes, Petromyzontidae.